GAAGGUCUGAGGAACGGAGCUCCCGGAAGUAAAGGCAUUGCCUCACAUUUGAGUACACCUGGCAACAGUACUUAAGGAAGGAAAGGUUUGCACUGGCCCGCAGUCUGAAGGAGGACAGAGGACACAAGGCAAUGAGAGCAGCUCUAGGUGUAGCCGUGGGAGCCCGAUAUAGCUGGACGCGCUGCAUCUGAAGGUCUAGGACAGACACGCUUGGCUAUAGCCCUCACAUCACGUACUCGGACAUAGCUGCAGUGGCAAUUGGAAAUGGAAGUUAGAAUCCUUAGCUUGUCAAGCCAGUAUUAGCAGCCUUUUUGCCAUAGGAAAGCACCAGCAUGACUUCAGGAUUUGUGGUCAGAAGCACGAGGUGGAGAAGUCCUGAUACAAUCUUUGUACUGUACGGUUGCCGUCUGGACUUCAUUGACUAUCCCGGAGCGAUCCAGCACAAGUGACAAGUGAAGACCUUGGCUGUGUUUCAGAAGCACAAUUACAACUCUUGGGGUAAAGAGCCUCAGCGACAAGGCCCAGGAAAGCAGGUGUAUUGAGAAUUAGAGAGACUCGGAGCGGGCCCCAGAGGAGAGGUAGGGAGUGGUCCUGGCAGCUGUUGGAUGAAGCAGGUUGGAAGGGCCUUGAGAGCAGAGGUCUGUUGUUUAACAUCAUCUUCGAGUGUACCCUAGCACGGCGGUCUCGGCUGGAGAGAUUUUCUGUGUGCUGAACUUAGAUGGAUAUGUCAAAGUGUACUCAAGCUUUCUUGAACUUUUUCCCCAUCUGAAAUCACUAAAAAUGUGCAGUAUUUCAAAAAGCCCAAGUUUGCCUCCAAAUAUGCUUGUGAAAUGUAUUUCAACACACAUAUCCAACAGUAAGAACAUGCUGGCCAUAUCAAUCCUCACAGCAACUCUUUAUUGCAGCAUAUUGAGGUUUAAUCAGGAAACAGGUUAGAGCUUCUAUGUACAGGUUUUCUUCUAGUUUGAGGUUUUCCUGAAAUAUGUGACACAGACUCGUUAUACAAAUGGCCACUAGUAAAUUAUUUCCAGCAUGUGUUACUCUGUCAACAGUGAUGCUUUCACAGAACCUUUGUCCUCCACAAUUCCCCCCCUCCAUUUAAACCAGGACAUUUCCAUCUCAGUGAGCCACUGCUGUAUUUGGGACCUAAGCGAGAAGCUGGAUAAACAGAGGCGCUAUUAUUAUUGUUACUGUCAAUAUAGUUUCCUUCCCUAGUUAUAACUGAUUAUUUCCUUUUUUCCAUUUCAAAACAUUUUUGUUCAAAUGCUUCUGAUGGCUCUCGUCACAAGCAAUAUUCCUUCGGAAAUAAUGCACCUUUUUAAUUUCUCAACCUAAAAUACACAGCCCGUCAUCUCCAUAGUAGGAUGAUGCUGUUAGAGAGAUCAGCUGUGUCUAGUUGGAGAAUUUUUAGGGGAAUAAGGGAUUACAGGAGCGAGUGCUUCCUCUAUUAGUUCGUGCAAAGUGAAGACAAGAAAGAAAGUCUGUAGGAUGUAAGAGGUGAUGUUACUCCAGCAAGAGUUGGGCAUUUGGAAACACAUGGAGUUAAAAGCAGUUUUCACUUAAUGUGCUUUGUUGUUUCUGCUACAAUAAAAAUAAAUAAUAAAAA
Molecule: long non-coding RNA, 1606 nt
Filed under: Mus musculus (house mouse)
Lineage: Eukaryota; Metazoa; Chordata; Mammalia; Rodentia; Muridae
Description: predicted gene, 33111
Source: RNAcentral